UCUGUCUCCACCAUCUCUCUCUGGACCUUCCUCAGCUAUGAUUCCUGGCCAUUACUGUCUCGUUACAUAUUUGGUACUUCCUCCUGGAUCUUAGGAAGCUCUAUCCCCUCAUAGAGGUAGAAGAAAGAACAGAGCUACUCCGAACGUGCUAUAAGAGUGUGCUCUGCCUGCCACCUACAGAAAUUUUGCAGAAGGAGGCAUCCAGUUCCCAGGAGGCCCACACCACUGUGGAGAGGGACCAGGUGAAGAUCUCGGCCCCCUCUGCCCUGGGCUACAUGUUGCAUCAAGUUGACAAAAUCAAGCCUGGACUCUCCACCCGAAGAGAGAUCUACACUUUUCUAGUCCCACUGCUGCUUAGCAUUCAGGAUAACAACACCGAGGUAGUCAAGGUACUGGUGAUCUCUGUCCUGCCAAGCUCAGCCUGAUUCAUCCCUCUUUCUGCUAGAGCAUAGCCUUUGGCUCUUUUUCAUGAGCCCAGCCUUGGCUGUACAUUUUAUAUCCACCUCUUUGGUGUCAUCC
Molecule: long non-coding RNA, 519 nt
Filed under: Zalophus californianus (California sea lion)
Lineage: Eukaryota; Metazoa; Chordata; Mammalia; Carnivora; Otariidae
Description: lncRNA (ENSZCAG00015010036.1)
Source: RNAcentral